This 379-nucleotide unclassified non-coding RNA is filed under the name plant metagenome. RNAcentral's name for it is "partial contains 5.8S ribosomal RNA, internal transcribed spacer 2, and large subunit ribosomal RNA". The stretch from base 1 to 105 matches the Rfam family "5.8S ribosomal RNA", at positions 50 to 154 of the family's 154-position model. The record is from RNAcentral.
GAAAUGCGAUAAGUAAUGUGAAUUGCAGAAUUCAGUGAAUCAUCGAAUCUUUGAACGCACCUUGCGCUCCUUGGUAUUCCUUGGAGCAUGCCUGUUUGAGUAUCAUGAAAUCUUCAAAGUAAAUCUUUUGUUAACUCAAUUGGUUCCUACUUUGGUAUUGGAGGUCUUUGCAGCUUCACACCUGCUCCUCUUUGUUCAUUAGCUGGAUCUCAGUGUUAUGCUUGGUUCCACUCGGCGUGAUAAGUUAUCUAUCGCUGAGGACACUGUAAAAGGUGGCCAAGGUAAAUGCAGAUGAACCGCUUCUAAUAGUCCAUUGACUUGGACAAUACUUUUAUGAUCUGAUCUCAAAUCAGGUAGGACUACCCGCUGAACGUAAGCA